Molecule: ribosomal RNA, 437 nt
Filed under: uncultured Oscillibacter sp.
Lineage: Bacteria; Bacillati; Bacillota; Clostridia; Eubacteriales; Oscillospiraceae
Description: partial 16S ribosomal RNA
Rfam family: Bacterial small subunit ribosomal RNA
Source: RNAcentral
ACGGGAGGCAGCAGUGGGGAAUAUUGGGCAAUGGGCGAAAGCCUGACCCAGCAACGCCGCGUGAAGGAAGAAGGCCUUCGGGUUGUAAACUUCUUUUACCAGGGACGAAGGACGUGACGGUACCUGGAGAAAAAGCAACGGCUAACUACGUGCCAGCAGCCGCGGUAAUACGUAGGUUGCAAGCGUUGUCCGGAUUUACUGGGUGUAAAGGGCGUGUAGGCGGAGCUGCAAGUCAGAUGUGAAAUCCCGGGGCUCAACCCCGGAACUGCAUUUGAAACUGUAGCCCUUGAGUAUCGGAGAGGCAAGCGGAAUUCCUGGUGUAGCGGUGGAAUGCGUAGAGAUCAGGAAGAACACCGAUGGCGAAGGCAGCUUGCUGGGGACUUAUCGACGCUCAUGCUCGAAAGUGCGGGUAGCAAACAGGAUUAGAUACCCUGGUA